This 274-nucleotide ribosomal RNA is filed under the name uncultured bacterium. Its description in RNAcentral is "partial 16S ribosomal RNA". It matches the Rfam family "Bacterial small subunit ribosomal RNA", at positions 523 to 796 of the family's 1533-position model. The record is from RNAcentral.
AUACGAAGGGGGCUAGCGUUGUUCGGAAUCACUGGGCGUAAAGCGCACGUAGGUGGACUAAUUAGUUGAGGGUGAAAUCCCGGGGCUUAACCUCGGAACUGCCUUCAAUACUGUUAGUCUUGAGUCCGAGAGAGGUGAGUGGAAUUCCUAGUGUAGAGGUGAAAUUCGUAGAUAUUAGGAAGAACACCAGUGGCGAAGGCGGCUCACUGGCUCGGUACUGACGCUGAGGUGCGAAAGCGUGGGGGGCAAACAGGAUUAGAAACCCUAGUAGUCC